CGCAUCACUGGUGUUCGGGUUGUCAUGCCAAUGGCACUGCCCGGUAGCUAAAUGCGGAAGAGAUAAGUGCUGAAAGCAUCUAAGCACGAAACUUGCCCCGAGAUGAGUUCUCCCUGACCCUUUAAGGGUCCUGAAGGAACGUUGAAGACGACGACGUUGAUAGGCCGGGUGUGUAAGCGCAGCGAUGCGUUGAGCUAACCGGUACUAAUGAACCGUGAGGCUUAACCUUACAACGCCGAAG
RNAcentral lists this ribosomal RNA (241 nucleotides) under Shigella sonnei. RNAcentral describes it as "partial 23S ribosomal RNA". It matches the Rfam family "Bacterial large subunit ribosomal RNA", at positions 2702 to 2925 of the family's 2925-position model. The record is from RNAcentral. Lineage: Bacteria; Pseudomonadati; Pseudomonadota; Gammaproteobacteria; Enterobacterales; Enterobacteriaceae.